UGCUGGUCUUUUUAUCAAUGGUUCUGGUACUAUCAAUGGCAAUGGUCAACGAUGGUGGGAUACUCCUAGCCGUACCAGGGUCAACGGAACUUGCACUAAACCAACGGUUGUUCAAUUUAAUUACUGUAAUGGACUUCGAUUGAAUGGAAUAAAGCUAGUGAAUAGUUCAAGGGACCAUAUAAUUCUUACUUAUAACAAGGGAGUAACGAUCUCAAAUAUUCAUAUAAGUGCACCAAAUUAUAGUCGUAAUACCGAUGG
Molecule: unclassified non-coding RNA, 258 nt
Filed under: Hevea brasiliensis (rubber tree)
Lineage: Eukaryota; Viridiplantae; Streptophyta; Magnoliopsida; Malpighiales; Euphorbiaceae
Source: RNAcentral